ACUCAGCGGCGGAGGCACGCCCUUUCUCAGGACAGGCUGUCCUGGCUCGCAGCUGCCGUUGUUUGGGUUGCCUGGCAACCCGAGCGAAACAGCGAGGGGCGGUGCUGGAAGCGGUGGAAGAGGAGGCGCGACGGCAGGCAGAAGCUGGAACAACCACCCAACUCUCCCCUGUGUUUCUCAUCGCCCCGCCAUGAUCGUGAUAAUUCCGUUCUCAGGCAUCCCCAUCUUCCUAGUGAGAAGAAUGGCAGAUUUGUCUUUACAAACAAGCUAUGGGUCUGCAGGUGGCUCAGGGGUGAUCUUGGAGCCUGUCAGUGCCGGUGCUCAGCUGCCAGGCCAUCCACCGCUGUGGGACAUGCUAUCGAUCUUCAUCCAUGUCACUGUCAGCAUCCCGUGGCAACAGCACACAGGACAGCCUUGAAGAAGGUGAGGAGGGUGGGCCACCUGGAAGUGAUGAGGGUUGAUGUAAACGUUGUCGUGGAUGCGAUCACGGACUGGAGAACCAGAAGAUAAUGGGCGUGGAUCUCGUGCCAGUGCUUUUAUUAUUCUCUGUUCCAGGAUGUUUUCUUCUGUAUUUCUCUCCUUAAGAUGCUGUAAACUAACCAAAUUGCUAAGAAUACAAUUAGUAAGAUUA
Haemorhous mexicanus (house finch) is the source of this 631-nucleotide long non-coding RNA. RefSeq lists it as uncharacterized. Lineage: Eukaryota; Metazoa; Chordata; Aves; Passeriformes; Fringillidae. The record is from RefSeq and is a predicted model, not a curated record. The transcript has 4 exons.